This 321-nucleotide unclassified non-coding RNA is filed under the name Clavaria californica. Its description in RNAcentral is "sequence contains 5.8S rRNA gene". The stretch from base 1 to 53 matches the Rfam family "5.8S ribosomal RNA", at positions 102 to 154 of the family's 154-position model. Lineage: Eukaryota; Fungi; Basidiomycota; Agaricomycetes; Agaricales; Clavariaceae. The record is from RNAcentral.
GAACGCACAUUGCACCCUCUGGUAUUCCGGAGGGUAUGCCUGUUUGAGUGUCAUUAAUAUCUCAACACAGUCAAGUUAUUUGACUUGCACUGAUGCUUGGAUGCUGAAGGUUGUUGGCAAUAUUUGUCAGCUCCUUUUAAAUGUAUUAGCAGAAACCUAUGCAAAAAGCUGGCUUCAGUUUGAUAAGCACUUAUCUGUAUUGCUGUUGCUAGUGAAAUGCCCUUGUUCAGCUUCCAAUUGUCCAAGCCCUUGGACUGCCUCUCGGGGUAAUUUAAUCUUGACAUUUGACCUCAAAUCAGGUAGGACUACCCGCUGAACUUA